AUGCUUGUCUCAAAGAUUAAGCCAUGCAUGUCUAAGAAUAAGCCCCAGAACGGCGAAUCUGCGAAUGGCUCAUUAAAUCAGUUAUUGUUUAUUUGAUGGUACCUUACUACUUGGAUAACCGUAGUAAUUCUAGAGCUAAUACAUGCGUCAAGCCCCGACUUCGGAAGGGGUGCAUUUAUUAGAUUCAAACCAUCGGCCUCUGUCAAAGGAGGUCCAUGAUGGUGAGUCAUAAUAACUGAGCGAAUCGAAUAGCCUUGUGCUGUCGAUGCUUCAUUCAAAUUUCUGCCCUAUCAGCUUUCGAUGGUAGGAUCUUGGCCUACCAUGGCUACAACGGGUAACGGGGAAUA
RNAcentral lists this ribosomal RNA (347 nucleotides) under uncultured fungus. Its description in RNAcentral is "bacterial SSU rRNA". It matches the Rfam family "Eukaryotic small subunit ribosomal RNA", at positions 28 to 371 of the family's 1831-position model. The record is from RNAcentral. Lineage: Eukaryota; Fungi.